This 252-nucleotide ribosomal RNA is filed under the name uncultured bacterium. Its description in RNAcentral is "partial 16S ribosomal RNA". It matches the Rfam family "Bacterial small subunit ribosomal RNA", at positions 524 to 776 of the family's 1533-position model. The record is from RNAcentral.
UACGUAGGGGGCGAGCGUUAUCCGGAUUCAUUGGGCGUAAAGCGCGCGUAGGCGGCCGCCUAAGCGGAACCUCUAACCCCGGGGCUCAACCUCGGGCCGGGUUCCGGACUGGGCGGCUCGAGUGCGGUAGAGGAGAGCGGAAUUCCCGGUGUAGCGGUGGAAUGCGCAGAUAUCGGGAAGAACACCGAUGGCGAAGGCAGCUCUCUGGGCCGUCACUGACGCUGAGGCGCGAAAGCGUGGGGAGCAAAUAGG